UGAGGAAUUUUCGGCAAUGGGGGAAACCCUGACCGAGCAACGCCGCGUGCAGGAUGACGGCCUUCGGGUUGUAAACUGCUUUUCUUUGGGACGAGUAAGGACGGUACCAGAGGAACAAGCCCCGGCUAACUACGUGCCAGCAGCCGCGGUAAUACGUAGGGGGCGAGCGUUGUCCGGAGUUACUGGGCGUAAAGCGCACGCAGGCGGUCCGUUAAGUUUGGAGUGACAGUUGGUGGCUCAACCACCAAAGUGCUUUGAAAACUGGCAGACUUGAGGGCUUCAGAGGGACACGGAAUUCCGGGUGGAGUGGUGAAAUGCGUAGAGAUCCGGAGGAACACCGAAGGCGAAGGCAGUGUCCUGGGGAGUACCUGACGCUCAGGUGCGAAAGCCAGGGGAGCGAACGGGAUUAGAUACCCCCGUAGUCC
This 425-nucleotide ribosomal RNA is filed under the name uncultured bacterium. Its description in RNAcentral is "bacterial SSU rRNA". It matches the Rfam family "Bacterial small subunit ribosomal RNA", at positions 355 to 796 of the family's 1533-position model. The record is from RNAcentral.